This 358-nucleotide unclassified non-coding RNA is filed under the name soil metagenome. RNAcentral describes it as "partial contains 5.8S ribosomal RNA, internal transcribed spacer 2, and large subunit ribosomal RNA". The stretch from base 1 to 120 matches the Rfam family "5.8S ribosomal RNA", at positions 35 to 154 of the family's 154-position model. The record is from RNAcentral.
GAUGAAGAACGCAGCGAAAUGCGAUAAGUAAUGUGAAUUGCAGAAUUCAGUGAAUCAUCGAAUCUUUCAACGCACAUUGCGCCCGUCAGUAUUCUGGCGGGCAUGCCUGUUCGAGCGUCAUUACGCCCCUCAAGUCCCCUGUGGACUUGGUGUUGGGGAUCGGCGAGGCUGGUUUUCCAGCACAGCCGUCCCUUAAAUUAAUUGGCGGUCUCGCCGUGGCCCUCCUCUGCGCAGUAGUAAAACACUCGCAACAGGAGCCCGGCGCGGUCCACUGCCGUAAAACCCCCCAACUUUUUAUAGUUGACCUCGAAUCAGGUAGGACUACCCGCUGAACUUAAGCAUAUCAAUAAGCGGAGGA